RNAcentral lists this ribosomal RNA (131 nucleotides) under Ulva paschima. RNAcentral describes it as "partial 5.8S ribosomal RNA". It matches the Rfam family "5.8S ribosomal RNA", at positions 30 to 154 of the family's 154-position model. From Rfam's summary of the family: 5.8S ribosomal RNA (5.8S rRNA) is a component of the large subunit of the eukaryotic ribosome. It is transcribed by RNA polymerase I as part of the 45S precursor that also contains 18S and 28S rRNA. Functionally, it is thought that 5.8S rRNA may be involved in ribosome translocation. The record is from RNAcentral. Lineage: Eukaryota; Viridiplantae; Chlorophyta; Ulvophyceae; Ulvales; Ulvaceae.
GCAUCGAUGAAGAACGCAGCGAAAUGCGAUACGUAGUGUGAAUUGCAGAAUUCCGUGAGUCAUCGAAUCUUUGAACGCACAUUGCCGGUCGACUCUUCGGAGGAGACCACAUCUGCCUCAGCGUCGGGAUA